This 462-nucleotide ribosomal RNA is filed under the name uncultured bacterium. RNAcentral's name for it is "partial 16S ribosomal RNA". It matches the Rfam family "Bacterial small subunit ribosomal RNA", at positions 28 to 507 of the family's 1533-position model. The record is from RNAcentral.
GAUCAACGCUGGCGGCGUGCUUAACACAUGCAAGUCGAACGAAGUUUUUCCUUCGGGAGCAACUUAGUGGCGGACGGGUGAGUAACGCGUGGGUAACCUGCCCUGUACAGGGGGACAACAGCUGUAAACGGCUGCUAAUACCGCAUAAGCCCUUAGCACUGCAUGGUGCAUAGGGAAAAGGAGCAAUCCGGUACAGGAUGGACCCGCGUCUGAUUAGCCAGUUGGCAGGGUAACGGCCUACCAAAGCGACGAUCAGUAGCCGAUCUGAGAGGAUGUACGGCCACAUUGGGACUGAGACACGGCCCAGACUCCUACGGGAGGCAGCAGUGGGGAAUAUUGCACAAUGGAGGAAACUCUGAUGCAGCGACGCCGCGUGAGUGAAGAAGUAUUUCGGUAUGUAAAGCUCUAUCAGCAGGGAAGAAAAUGACGGUACCUGACUAAGAAGCACCGGCUAAAUACGUG